AAAUAUUUUACAGAUAAACAUUUCAAUUCAAAAUUCAAUCGCCCGAGCAAUAAUUAGGAACACCUGGAAAGUUAAACUGGUAUUUGCUUCCAUAACAGUGACAAACAAUAACCAUUCACAACAUUAGUUAUAAUCCUUAAAAAGAAAUAACAAACUUCAAAAAAAAAUAUAUAGACGUUUUACAAUGACUGUUGGCUUGGCACAUCAAUCUAAAGCUCACAAGCAGUUUGCAUUUCUCAUCAUCUCUUUCUUCUUCCCUCUAUUAUCAAUGGAUUGUAGAAGCUCAAAUGAAGCAAGUAGCAGCAGGAACAACACAAGCAACUUUUACUAUCAAUCCCCAUCCUUCUCCAUUCAAAAUGCAUCAUGACCAUUUUCCGGCCAGCUCCAUACACAAAAACAACAGUAAAUAUAUCCGGAAACAACAAAAAAAUUAACCCAAAAGUAGUAGUAAAUUUAUACAAAAACAGAAAAAAAUUUAACUGAAAUACGGCAGCAAAUUAACCCAAAACCAGCAGAAUUUUAACACAGAAAUAGCAGCAACUGAAGCCCAAAACACCCGAAAAUUUUACCCAAAAACAGCAGUAAAUUUAUCCAGAAACAGCAGAAAAAUUAAUUGAAAAACAGCAGCAAAUUUACCCAGAAGCAGCAGAAAAUUUAACCCAAAAAUAGCAGUAAAUUUAUCUAGAAACAGCAGAAAAUUUAAUUGAAAAACAGCAGCAAAUUUACCCAGAAGUAGCAGAAAAUUUAACACAAAAACAGCAGCAAAUGAAGCCCAAAACAGCAGAAAAUUUAACCACAAAACAGCAGAAAAUUUAACCCAAAAACAGCAGUAAAUUUAUCCAGAAACAGCAAAAAAUUUAACUGAAAAACAGCAGCAAAUUUACCGAGAAACAACAGAAAAUUUAACACAAAAACAGUAGCAAAUGAAGCCCAAAACACCAGAAAAAUUUACCUCCAAACAGCAGAAAAUAUAACCCAAAAACAGCAGUAAAUUGAUCCAAAAACAGCAGAAAAUUAGACUAAAAACAGCAGCCAAUUUACCCAGAAACAGCAAAAAAUUUAACUCAAAAUCAGCAGCAAAUGAAGCCCAAAACACCAGAAAAAUUUAACCCAAGAACAACAGCAAAUCAUUCCAAAUACAGCAUAAAAUUUACCCAGAAAAAAAAAGCAUAUCAAAUCAUCCCAAAUACAGCAGCAAAUCAUCCCUACGUUUCAAACAUGCUUCUCUAGGCUAACUCUAGACUUAAUUUUCCCUUCAUUACCACAGUGGAACUCAUUCUAACUGGUAAAUUUAUUUGUAUAAACAAUAAUUCACUUUCUAUUGAACUAAGAGUUGAUGAAAUUCAUUGAUAUUGAAAUUAUUUGCAGUUGAUGAACCUCGUAUUCUAUUAAACUUCCAACCAAAAUCAAUGCACAUGAGAAUACAAAAUCAAGGGCACAACAAUUAACGAAAUUUACUUUUAAUUUCGUCCAAACCUAUACAUCGCACCAAAUUAAGGUUCAGUUUCUAUUUCUUCAUUAACCCAAGUGACACAAAACAAUUCUAUUAAAUUUUAUGUUGAAAUUAUUUGUAGCAAACAAACAAAUAUACCAAAAAUAGGCUUACUUGGUGGAAUUAACAACAAUGCAAACGCGGUGGAGGGGAAUCAGUGGCUGGAACUUGCCUUGCCUUCUCUUCCAAUCAAUAAGAUUGAGGGCAGCAGCAACAACUUAUGAUCAACACCUGGUACUCCGCUUCAGGCACUGUCAAAUCUCAUCAAAAUUUCUUUAUCCCUUAAUUCUCUUGGAAACCAAACAAAAUACCACAACCAAUCCAGAUGCACAGUAUCCAAAAAUUAUAAAAAAAUCCACUUAAAAAACUUAAAAAAGGGUUAAAAAAAGUCUUAAGAAGAGUUUACCUCCUGAAUCACUGAUGCCCAGCCGGUAUCGUUGUUCCAAAACCCCUUGACGAAUACGAACACAGCCUGGUUCUCCUCAACCAAGUUGUUGUAGAGCUUCUUCUUGUCCGAUUAAAUAAUCUAUUGGUAUUUAGUGAUGGAUUUAAAGAGGAACGCCUUGGCGAUGGGCAAAUUUCAAAUCCGCUUCUGUUUUGCUGCAAGCAGAUUUCAAAUCGGUGAUGGGCAGGAACACAAACUCAGCCCCUUCACCAACAUGAACCGUUGUAGAGCUUCUUAUUUCUCGCUUCUUUUUGGCUUCAGGCAGUUUUCAAAGCGAUGAUUGGCAGGAAAAGAGGAACGAUUGAGGAAAACAAAAUUUGGGUUAGCCAGCAAGCACAAUCGCUUCGAAAAUACAAGAUCCGGCGUGCUGCAAUUUCUUAGACUCGAUGUUGUGCCCUUCGAAUUAUGAGAUUCUAUUUGGAUUUUUGUAGAUUCG
Molecule: long non-coding RNA, 2373 nt
Filed under: Citrus maxima (pomelo)
Lineage: Eukaryota; Viridiplantae; Streptophyta; Magnoliopsida; Sapindales; Rutaceae
Description: long non-coding RNA (CMAX_LNC001434)
Source: RNAcentral